Molecule: ribosomal RNA, 387 nt
Filed under: uncultured bacterium
Lineage: Bacteria
Description: bacterial SSU rRNA
Rfam family: Bacterial small subunit ribosomal RNA
Source: RNAcentral
AUUGAACGCUGGCGGCAUGCUUUACACAUGCAAGUCGAACGGCAGCGGGGGCUUCGGCCUGCCGGCGAGUGGCGAACGGGUGAGUAAUGCAUCGGAACGUGCCCAGUCAUGGGGGAUAACUACGCGAAAGCGUAGCUAAUACCGCAUACGCCCUGAGGGGGAAAGCGGGGGAUCGCAAGACCUCGCGUGAUUGGAGCGGCCGAUGUCGGAUUAGCUAGUUGGUGGGUAAAGGCCUACCAAGGCGACGAUCCGUAGCGGGUCUGAGAGGAUGAUCCGCCACACUGGGACUGAGACACGGCCCAGACUCCUACGGGAGGCAGCAGUGGGGAAUUUUGGACAAUGGGGGCAACCCUGAUCCAGCCAUGCCGCGUGAGUGAAGAAGGCCUC